GGAGACGAAGUAUAUUAGUAUACUUUUUUUACACAAAAGUGGACCUCCAUGAGGCGUUUCUAC
This 63-nucleotide transfer RNA is filed under the name Physella acuta. RNAcentral describes it as "transfert RNA-C(GTA)". The record is from RNAcentral. Lineage: Eukaryota; Metazoa; Mollusca; Gastropoda; Physidae.